AUUGAACGCUGGCGGCAUGCUUUACACAUGCAAGUCGAACGGGGUGAAGGGGCAACCCUUCAUUCAGUGGCGAACGGGUGAGUAAUGCAUCGGAACGUACCUCGUAGUGGGGGAUAACUCGGCGAAAGCCGUGCUAAUACCGCAUAUGCUCUACGGAGGAAAGCAGGGGACCUGAAAGGGCCUUGUGCUAUGGGAGCGGCCGAUGUCCGAUUAGCUAGUUGGUGGGGUAAGGCCUACCAAGGCGACGAUCGGUAGCUGGUCUAAGAGGAUGAUCAGCCACACUGGGACUGAGACACGGCCCAGACUCCUACGGGAGCAGCAGUGGGGAAUUUUGGACAAUGGGGGCAACCCUGAUCCAGCCAUGCCGCGUGCGGGAAGAA
RNAcentral lists this ribosomal RNA (380 nucleotides) under uncultured bacterium. RNAcentral's name for it is "bacterial SSU rRNA". It matches the Rfam family "Bacterial small subunit ribosomal RNA", at positions 30 to 412 of the family's 1533-position model. The record is from RNAcentral.